Long non-coding RNA from Passer domesticus (house sparrow), 393 nucleotides. RefSeq lists it as uncharacterized. Lineage: Eukaryota; Metazoa; Chordata; Aves; Passeriformes; Passeridae. The transcript is spliced from 3 exons. The record is from RefSeq and is a predicted model, not a curated record.
CCCGGGUCUGGCCGGGGAGAAAGUGAAUGAUUUCCUCCUCCUCCUCCUCACAGCUACUCUGCCCCUGCAAGAACAUAAGAAAAUGAAUAAGAUCAACCCUACAACGAGCCUUUUUGGAACAAUGUAUUCUAGCAAUCUGCUUCAACUCGGGGCAUAAAUAUCAGGAGGAAGGACAACACAGCAAGCAGCUUUGCAGCUCAGAAGAAAUAUCAAGUGUAACCCAGGCAAUUCAGGGCAACUUUUUUGUUCCAAUCCCUUCAUUUGAGCAGGAGCAGCGGCACCCCCGUCCCCCGAUGCUCCCGCGGCCGGGCGCGCUCCCCCCGCCGGACAACAAAGGCCGGGCCGGGGCGCGGGGGAAACUUCCCGGCACCUGCCCCCCGCCGCUCCCCGCCG